GUGAGUGUUGGGUUAAGUCCCGCAACGAGCGCAACCCUCAUUGCCAGUUGAUUUCUCUGGCGAGACUGCCCCGCAAAACGGGGAGGAAGGUGGGGAUGACGUCAAGUCAGCAUGGCCCUUAUGCCCUGGGCUACACACACGCUACAAUGGACGGUACAAUUGGUUGCAAUAGCGCGAGCUGGAGCUAAUCCGAAAAGCCGUUCUCAGUUCGGAUUGCAGGCUGAAACCCGCCUGCAUGAAGUUGGAGUUGCUAGUAAUCGCAGGUCAGCAUACUGCGGUGAAUACGUUCUCGGGCCUU
This 298-nucleotide ribosomal RNA is filed under the name uncultured Chloroflexota bacterium. RNAcentral's name for it is "uncultured Chloroflexi bacterium partial 16S ribosomal RNA". It matches the Rfam family "Bacterial small subunit ribosomal RNA", at positions 1067 to 1382 of the family's 1533-position model. Lineage: Bacteria; Bacillati; Chloroflexota. The record is from RNAcentral.